Molecule: small RNA, 608 nt
Filed under: Pan troglodytes (chimpanzee)
Lineage: Eukaryota; Metazoa; Chordata; Mammalia; Primates; Hominidae
Description: processed transcript
Source: RNAcentral
AUCUAAAUUGUAAUAAUGGAGCAACAGUACAUGAGCUUCCAGAGGCCCUUAUUAGUCCUUGUUGACAGAAACAUAGAUUUGGCAACUCCUUUACAUCAUACUUGGACAUAUCAAGCAUUGGUGCACGAUGUACUGGAUUUCCAUUUAAACAGGGUUAAUUUGGAAGAAUCUUCAGGAGUGGAAAACUCUCCAGCUGGUGCUAGACCAAAGAGAAAAAACAAGAAGUCUUAUGAUUUAACUCCGGUUGAUAAAUUUUGGCAAAAACAUAAAGGAAGUCCAUUCCCAGAAGUUGCAGAAUCAGUUCAACAAGAACUAGAAUCUUACAGAGCACAGGAAGAUGAGGUCAAACGACUUAAAAGCAUUAUGGGACUAGAAGGGGAAGAUGAAGGAGCCAUAAGUAUGCUUUCUGACAAUACCGCUAAGCUAACAUCAGCUGUUAGUUCUUUGCCAGAACUCCUUGAGAAAAAAAGACUUAUUGAUCUCCAUACAAAUGUUGCCACUGCUGUUUUAGAACAUAUAAAGGCAAGAAAAUUGGAUGUAUAUUUUGAAUAUGAAGAAAAAAUAAUGAGCAAAACUACUCUGGAUAAAUCUCUUCUAGAUAUAAUAUC